GGGUGAUUAGCUCAGUUGGUAGAGCGCCGGCUCGACACGCCGUAGGUCACAGGUUCAAGUCCUGUAUUACCCACCA
This 76-nucleotide transfer RNA is filed under the name compost metagenome. Its description in RNAcentral is "tRNA-Val". It matches the Rfam family "tRNA". Rfam says of the family: Transfer RNA (tRNA) molecules are approximately 80 nucleotides in length. Their secondary structure includes four short double-helical elements and three loops (D, anti-codon, and T loops). The record is from RNAcentral.